This 459-nucleotide ribosomal RNA is filed under the name uncultured bacterium. RNAcentral describes it as "partial 16S ribosomal RNA". It matches the Rfam family "Bacterial small subunit ribosomal RNA", at positions 338 to 795 of the family's 1533-position model. The record is from RNAcentral.
CCUACGGGUGGCAGCAGUGAGGAAUAUUGGUCAAUGGCCGGAAGGCUGAACCAGCCAAGUAGCGUGAGGGACGACUGCCCUAUGGGUUGUAAACCUCUUUUAUAAGGGAAGAAUAAAUGCUACGUGUAGCAUGAUGCCUGUACCGUAUGAAUAAGCAUCGGCUAACUCCGUGCCAGCAGCCGCGGUAAUACGGAGGAUGCGAGCGUUAUCCGGAUUUAUUGGGUUUAAAGGGAGCGUAGGCGGUUUUUUAAGUUAGUGGUUAAACGUCGGGGCUUCACCUUGAUUUGCCAUUAGUACUGUACGACUCGAGUUCAGACGAGGUAGGCGGAAUAAGUUAAGUAGCGGUGAAAUGCUUAGAUAUAACUUAGAACUCCGAUAGCGAAGGCAGCUUACCGGACUGCGACUGACGCUGAUGCACGAGAGCGUGGGUAGCGAACAGGAUUAGAUACCCGAGUAGUC